This 123-nucleotide ribosomal RNA is filed under the name Periophthalmus magnuspinnatus. Lineage: Eukaryota; Metazoa; Chordata; Actinopteri; Gobiiformes; Gobiidae. The record is from RNAcentral.
UACUGUGGCCAAACCUCCGUGUCAAAGCCUCACCUCAUCAGACCUCAGAAGCUAAGCAGGACUGGGCUUGGUUAGUGCUUGGAUGGGAGACUGUUGGCACAAAAUGCAACGUCUUCUCGGUAA